CUAUGUUAGAAUUGUUGGAUUGAUGACUUGGGAUUGUUGUAUUCAUAUGGAUUAUGAAGAAUGAUGUUAAUUGCAUCUAAUUGAGACUGUAGAAAUUGUUAGAAGUAAAAGAAUGGGGAUUUGGUGAAGAAAACACCAUUAAUGGGGGUUAUAGAGCUUCAUGCCCACUAAGUGUUUGAUAAAAUGCUUAGAUGAACAAAACAUGGAUAUUGUUGCUAAUAUAGAAUCACUAUGACUUGUAUGCUAUAGAUUGAAGUUGAAGGGGGUGAAGGACAUUGUGAUACGCCCAAAAGCGGAAGGUUAAGGUACUGAUAUACAGGACGACACAUCUGCUCAGUAGGACAGCAUUCGUAUCAGCUUAUUUGUGAGCCCCAUCUCAUUCGGGGUUUAGUCAACUUUUAUCUUAUGAUUAGUUAUGCAUCUAAAGGUAUGCUGGGGGCCUUGUCCCAGUAAGUAUGUUUUUCAGUCAGACUCAUGAUAGAGGUUUCAUAGACUAGAACAGACAGUUAUGUCAUGUCAGAUAAUCGAAGUCGCAUAGCCAUUUUGGCUCACUCAUGUUUAAACAAGUACUUUAUUAAGUAUUAUGACUUAUUAUGUUUUAUAAAGGCU
Molecule: long non-coding RNA, 609 nt
Organism: Lycium barbarum (goji berry)
Lineage: Eukaryota; Viridiplantae; Streptophyta; Magnoliopsida; Solanales; Solanaceae
Exons: 2
Source: RefSeq, a predicted model, not a curated record